Molecule: ribosomal RNA, 254 nt
Filed under: uncultured bacterium
Lineage: Bacteria
Description: partial 16S ribosomal RNA
Rfam family: Bacterial small subunit ribosomal RNA
Source: RNAcentral
UACGAAGGGGGCGAGCGUUAUUCGGAAUCACUGGGCGUAAAGCGUACGUAGGCUGUUCUGCAAGUCAGGAGUGAAAGCCCAAGGCUCAACCUAGGAAUUGCGCUUGAGACUGGAUAGCUUGGAGUGCGGCAGAGGGAGGUGGAAUUCCACGUGUAGCAGUGAAAUGCGUAGAGAUGUGGAGGAACACCGAUGGCGAAGGCAGCCUCCUGGGCCAGCACUGACGCUCAUGCACGAAAGCGUGGGGAGCAAACAGG